This is a long non-coding RNA of Schistocerca americana (American grasshopper), 854 nucleotides long. RefSeq lists it as uncharacterized. The record is from RefSeq and is a predicted model, not a curated record. The transcript has 5 exons. NCBI's taxonomy places the organism in Eukaryota, Metazoa, Arthropoda, Insecta, Orthoptera, Acrididae.
UACAUCACCUACAGAUGCCAUUUUGAAACUGUCCUGCAGCUGUGCUAUGUGUUGGUAGUGACGGAAACUUGGAGCACUCACCCAGGACACUUCAGAUAAUACAUACGUAACGUUUCACAUUCGUAGCAUUGUUUUCGCGGAGAAAAAAUGCUGUGCAAUACUUUCUGGGCAACCUCGUACUGAAAUUAAUUCUGUACAGGGACAGGACAGAAAAACUGAAAAGAAGAGCAGAGGUGAGAUUCCCUUGCAAAAUCGUGCACAGUCGGAUGCUCUUGUUGUUGAUACUGAUGUGCCUGCGACUGACGAGAGGGAAGCAAUUUUAGACCAAGGUCCAACAUCUUGCAUAUGUUGCUGUGGAACAUAAUUAUGCUAUACCAUGGCAUGUCAUAACAACACAGCAUACUAGGGUAACAGUGUCGAGAGUGCUGGUUAAGGUCGAUGCUGUUGGAUCAUGGGGCAUCUUAAACAGAGUUGUUAGGAAGGCCAGUCAGGUUCCCUUCCCCAGGUGUGCAGGGUCACUGAUCGGGAAACACGAUCAAAUUUAGCCAUGCUCAGGCCUGUGGCCCUAGGUGUGUAAGUUAUUGGCUAUGCUGCGGUGGCUGUGCCAUCAACCCGCCCCAGAAAAAGCUGGUGAUGGAGUAGUGGCAUUGGCAUCUGGAGAGCAAACCUCAGCCUUGGAAUUCUGGCUGGUGGUCUCUGGCAAUGGGAAUUGGUAAGUGCAUUGGUGUCUGUGAGGAUCCUAGUUUGUCACUCCUCCCAUUGGAGCCAAUGCCUGUACAAACCUGCACCAUUACACCAGGGGCCAACCAGCUGUCUGAUCGAACACGCUGAGCUACCCUGCCGGUGUCCAUCUG